RNAcentral lists this ribosomal RNA (194 nucleotides) under nitrogen-fixing bacterium HS002. RNAcentral's name for it is "partial 16S ribosomal RNA". It matches the Rfam family "Bacterial small subunit ribosomal RNA", at positions 338 to 524 of the family's 1533-position model. Lineage: Bacteria; Pseudomonadati; Pseudomonadota; Gammaproteobacteria; Pseudomonadales; Pseudomonadaceae. The record is from RNAcentral.
CCUACGGGAGGCAGCAGUGGGGAAUAUUGGACAAUGGGCGCAAGCCUGAUCCAGCCAUGCCGCGUGUGUGAAGAAGGUCUUAGGAUUGUAAAGCACUUUAAGCAGGGAGGAAGAUCUGUUGGUUAAUACCUGACAGUUUUGACGUUACCUGCAGAAUAAGCACCGGCUAACUCUGUGCCAGCAGCCGCGGUAAU